Molecule: ribosomal RNA, 805 nt
Filed under: uncultured archaeon
Lineage: Archaea
Description: bacterial SSU rRNA
Rfam family: Archaeal small subunit ribosomal RNA
Source: RNAcentral
ACGGCUCAGUAACACGUAGCUAACCUACCCUUAGGACGUCGAUAACCCCGAGAAAUUGGGGCUAAUAGGCGAUAGGUGUGAUGUCCUGGAAUGGUAUCACGCCCAAAGGUAUCCCAUACAUGUUUGGUAUACGCCUAAGGAUGGGGCUGCGGCCGAUCAGGCUGUUGGUGAGGUAAUGGCUCACCAAACCUUUGACCGGUACGGGCCAUGAGAGUGGUAGCCCGGAGAUGGACACUGAGACAAGGGUCCAGGCCCUACGGGGCGCAGCAGGCGCGAAACCUCCUCAAUGCACUAACGUGCGAAGGGGUUACCUCGAGUGCUAUCUGAAGAAGGUGGCUUUUCCUAGGUCUAAAAAGCCUUGGGAAUAAGAGGGGGGCAAGACUGGUGUCAGCCGCCGCGGCAACACCAGCCCCUCGAGUGGUGGGGAUGAUUAUUUGGCCUAAAGCGUCCGUAGCCGGCCGGGUAAGUUUCCCGUUAAAUCCAACGUCUCAAGCGUUGGACUGCGGGAAAUACUGCCAGGCUAGAGAGUGGGAGAGGUCAGCGGUAUUCUGGGGGUAGGGGCGAAAUCCUUUGAUCCCCGGAGGACCACCAGUGGCGAAGGCUGCUGACUAGAACACGUCUGACGGUCAGGGACGAAAGCUGGGGUAGCGAACCGGAUUAGAUACCCGGGUAGUCCCAGCCGUAAACGAUGCAUGCUAGGUGUUGGGUUGGCCACGAGCCACCCCAGUGCCGCAGGGAAGCCGUUAAGCAUGCCGCCUGGGAAGUACGAUCGCAAGAUUGAAACUUAAAGGAAUUGGCGGGGGAG